Molecule: transfer RNA, 65 nt
Filed under: uncultured Dysosmobacter sp.
Lineage: Bacteria; Bacillati; Bacillota; Clostridia; Eubacteriales; Oscillospiraceae
Rfam family: tRNA
About the family: Transfer RNA (tRNA) molecules are approximately 80 nucleotides in length. Their secondary structure includes four short double-helical elements and three loops (D, anti-codon, and T loops).
Source: RNAcentral
GGUAUAGCGCAGUUGGUAGCGCGCUUGGUUCGGGACCAAGAGGCCGUGGGUUCAAAUCCCGCUAC